RNAcentral lists this ribosomal RNA (253 nucleotides) under uncultured bacterium. RNAcentral describes it as "partial 16S ribosomal RNA". It matches the Rfam family "Bacterial small subunit ribosomal RNA", at positions 524 to 776 of the family's 1533-position model. The record is from RNAcentral.
UACGGGGGGAGCAAGCGUUGUUCGGAUUUACUGGGCGUAAAGGGCGCGUAGGCGGCACCGCAAGUCGACUGUGAAAUCUCCGGGCUUAACUCGGAAAGGUCAGCCGAUACUGCGGGGCUAGAGUGCAGAAGGGGCAACUGGAAUUCUCGGUGUAGCGGUGAAAUGCGUAGAUAUCGAGAGGAACACCUGCGGCGAAGGCGGGUUGCUGGGCUGACACUGACGCUGAUGUGCGAAAGCCAGGGGAGCGAACGGG